Molecule: ribosomal RNA, 433 nt
Filed under: uncultured bacterium
Lineage: Bacteria
Description: partial 16S ribosomal RNA
Rfam family: Bacterial small subunit ribosomal RNA
Source: RNAcentral
AACGAACGCUGGCGGCAUGCCUAACACAUGCAAGUCGAACGAGACCUUCGUGUCUAGUGGCGCACGGGGGCGUAACGCGGGGUAACCUGCCCGUAGGUUCGGAAUAACUCCCCGAAAGGGGUCCUAAUACCGGUUAAUGUCAUCGGACCUACGAGUUUUCGCCGUUGGAUGGGCCCGCGUUGGAUUCGCUGGUUGGUAGGGUACAAGCAUGCCAAGGCGACGUUCCAUAGCUGGUCUGUGAGGAUGAUCCGCCACACUGGGACUGCGACACGGCCCAGACUGCUACGGGAGGGAGCAGUGGGGAAUAUUGGGCGCUGGGCGAAAGCCUGGUCCCGCAAUGCCGCGUGAGUGAUGAAGGCCUUAGUGUUGCAAAUCUCUUUUUCCCGGGAUGAUAGUGACAGUACCGGGUGAAUAAGCUCCGGCUAACUCCGUG